Molecule: long non-coding RNA, 525 nt
Organism: Electrophorus electricus (electric eel)
Lineage: Eukaryota; Metazoa; Chordata; Actinopteri; Gymnotiformes; Gymnotidae
Source: Ensembl
CUUCAUUGAACACUUUGUGAACCCUGCUAAUCUGCGCACAGCAGGAGCUUUUCAGGGUUUGAAAGGGAACGGGACAUGGCUAGCCUUCCUGCCACUGGCGCCAGUGGAGACCAGUUCGACCAGUCUCCUCGUAUUGGCCUUCAUCACCAUUAUAGUUGCCCUUGUCUCUCUCUUACUGCUCUGCCACUUGCUGGUCUUCCACAUAUAUCUCUUAUCUAAAGGAAUGAGCACAUACGAGUAUAUUGUGAAGCAGCGUCAGCUACAGAGUGCCAGGGAGCAGAAAGCAGGAGGCACUCAGCUGUCUCCAUCUCCUGCUGUAGCCAAGGGCCUUGGUCAUUUGGACAUGCCUAUAGACUGUGAUGCUCCUCUAUCAAGCAGACCAAGUGUCUUCAAAUACCAAGACAGAGGAGAGAUUUCCAGUCAUCUGUCAGGACCCAUCUGUUCAGAGAUGGAUCAUUUUCCUCAUGCAAGUGAUGGAGAGAAUUAUCUUAACUAUGGUUCAAAAGCAUUGCAAAUGGUGCCAGG